GCCGGUAGUAACCGGAGGAAGUGGGGAUGACGUCAAGUCCUCAUGGCCCUUAUAGGUGGGGCUACACACGUCAUACAAUGGCUGGUACAAAGGGUUGCCAACCCGCGAGGGGGAGCCAAUCCCAUAAAGCCAGUCGUAGUCCGGAUCGUAGUCUGCAACUCGACUACGUGAAGUCGGAAUCGCUAGUAAUCGUGGAUCAGAAUGUCACGGUGAAUACGUUCCCGGGUCUU
Molecule: ribosomal RNA, 230 nt
Filed under: uncultured Rhodoferax sp.
Lineage: Bacteria; Pseudomonadati; Pseudomonadota; Betaproteobacteria; Burkholderiales; Comamonadaceae
Description: partial 16S ribosomal RNA
Rfam family: Bacterial small subunit ribosomal RNA
Source: RNAcentral